RNAcentral lists this transfer RNA (69 nucleotides) under Bos taurus (domestic cattle). It matches the Rfam family "tRNA". From Rfam's summary of the family: Transfer RNA (tRNA) molecules are approximately 80 nucleotides in length. Their secondary structure includes four short double-helical elements and three loops (D, anti-codon, and T loops). Lineage: Eukaryota; Metazoa; Chordata; Mammalia; Artiodactyla; Bovidae. RNAcentral also lists the same sequence under 5 other names. The record is from Rfam by way of RNAcentral.
UCCCUGGUGGCUCAACAGUAGAGUCUGCCUGCAAUACAGGAGAUCCGAGUUCAAGCCCUGGCUAGGGAA